Molecule: long non-coding RNA, 209 nt
Filed under: Elaeis guineensis (African oil palm)
Lineage: Eukaryota; Viridiplantae; Streptophyta; Magnoliopsida; Arecales; Arecaceae
Description: long non-coding RNA (EGUI_LNC030217)
Source: RNAcentral
CGGUUGUCAAGCUAUUUUUAUCUUCUAACUUUUAAAUAUUAAUGAAAAUAAUUUUCAUACACUCUGUUUUUCUUGUCAUGCUGAUUUGGUGGUAGUAAAUUGUAGCUUAUUUUUGGGCACUUGAGUAGCCUGAGCUUUGAUUAUGCUGUCUUGGCAACUCUUCAUUCAUUUGGGCCAUUGUGUCAGAAGCCGAGGCAAGAAUUGCCUUC